RNAcentral lists this ribosomal RNA (500 nucleotides) under fungal sp. SS_NXA1. RNAcentral describes it as "SSU rRNA". It matches the Rfam family "Eukaryotic small subunit ribosomal RNA", at positions 63 to 567 of the family's 1831-position model. The record is from RNAcentral. Lineage: Eukaryota; Fungi.
GUAUAAGCAAUUAUACCGUGAAACUGCGAAUGGCUCAUUAAAUCAGUUAUCGUUUAUUUGAUAGUACCUUACUACUUGGAUAACCGUGGUAAUUCUAGAGCUAAUACAUGCUAAAAACCCCAACUUCGGGAGGGGUGUAUUUAUUAGAUAAAAAACCAAUGCCCUUCGGGGCUCUUUGGUGAUUCAUGAUAACUUAACGGAUCGCAUGGCCUUGCGCCGGCGACGGUUCAUUCAAAUUUCUGCCCUAUCAACUUUCGAUGGUAAGGUAUUGGCUUACCAUGGUUUCAACGGGUAACGGGGAAUUAGGGUUCGAUUCCGGAGAGGGAGCCUGAGAAACGGCUACCACAUCCAAGGAAGGCAGCAGGCGCGCAAAUUACCCAAUCCCGACACGGGGAGGUAGUGACAAUAAAUACUGAUACAGGGCUCUUUUGGGUCUUGUAAUCGGAAUGAGUACAAUUUAAACCCCUUAACGAGGAACAAUUGGAGGGCAAGUCUGGCCC